This 131-nucleotide non-coding RNA is filed under the name Parcubacteria group bacterium GW2011_GWF2_50_9. The record is from RNAcentral.
UGGAGGAUUUGAAAUAUAUUCCCCCCUUCCUAACAAAAUUCAUAAAGGCCGUAGAGACUGAAUGUCAACUAUCCUCAUUCGUCACAAACGAACGGAUAAUGUUACAGUCCGAUCCCGCCAGUAACGGCGGC